ACGUGUACAGCGAUGGGACUCUCCGUUCCUCGAGAGCCAGGCCCACCCUUUGGUUAGCCCCUAAUCGCGCUGCUCUUAGUCUGCCUCCUAGCGGCCUUAACUUUGUUUUUCCCGAUUUGUUACUGCACUCCCCCUCCCCCAUUUUAAAUCUCGAUUUAAGGGAGCCGGCCUGCAAGAUUAAGAAAAGCCGUUUGCAAACUCAUAUUUACGAAAGUAUAUUUUUUAUAACCUUUAUUUUUUAAAGUGAACAUCUUGUUUUCCUGUGAAAGCUUUCUGCGGUCAAUGAUCUAAAAAAAGGAUUGUAAGGAUGCUAUUUUAAAGAUCUCUGUUUUCCUUCCAGUGACCCACAGAUUUGGAGCUGCACCCGGGACCAACAAGGAUUUCUGUUCUUUGAAACUUUCCAGGAAACUGAAGACUUCAUACAGAGGUGCCUAUUACUGUCUUGAGAGAAGAGAGUGAACUGGAUGAGACCAGGAUAGCAACAGAAGAGGAUCUGCAUAGGAGGACAGCAGAAUGUGUAGUGUGACAAACUACAAGUCCUCAGUUGGCUUUGCCAUUAAAUGUACGCCAAAUACCAGGGUCAUCUGUGACAGAGAAAAGAUCCAAGAUAUUAACCAUAAUACAGUUGUCAUGUCAUCUUCCAUCCAGUGGCUGUGUUCUUUUGCCUAUUUUAACCUUUUCUUUUUAUUUGCUAGUUCCAUAUAUGACUUUUUCUUUGGACCUGUGCCUCUAAGGUCAGCAUGUCGGAAUCAUUUUUUCGCUGCAGUAAUAGCCAUUACAAACACAAGUAAUGUCUUGGCUAUGUUUUUCAGUCAAUUUAAUGGUAUCUCAAUGGAAAAACAUAUCUAUUUCUAUUAAUAUAAAUUCUGUAAAGUUCUCGUCUCCUAAUAAAAGUGGGUUUAGAUGCCAUUUGCGAGAUGAGUAUGUGGGGCAUAAUGAUUUUAGCUUCAAGAUCAGAGAGGCAUGGUCGGAAAU
Long non-coding RNA from Polypterus senegalus (gray bichir), 975 nucleotides. RefSeq lists it as uncharacterized. NCBI's taxonomy places the organism in Eukaryota, Metazoa, Chordata, Cladistia, Polypteriformes, Polypteridae. The record is from RefSeq and is a predicted model, not a curated record. The transcript has 3 exons.